RNAcentral lists this ribosomal RNA (497 nucleotides) under uncultured bacterium. RNAcentral describes it as "partial 16S ribosomal RNA". It matches the Rfam family "Bacterial small subunit ribosomal RNA", at positions 28 to 507 of the family's 1533-position model. The record is from RNAcentral.
GACGAACGCUGGCGGCGUGCCUAAUACAUGCAAGUUGAGCGCUGAAGGUCGGUACUUGUACCGACUGGAUGAGCAGCGAACGGGUGAGUAACGCGUGGGGAAUCUGCCUUUGAGCGGGGGACAACAUUUGGAAACGAAUGCUAAUACCGCAUAAAAACUUUAAACACAAGUUUUAAGUUUGAAAGAUGCAAUUGCAUCACUCAAAGAUGAUCCCGCGUUGUAUUAGCUAGUUGGUGAGGUAAAGGCUCACCAAGGCGAUGAUACAUAGCCGACCUGAGAGGGUGAUCGGCCACAUUGGGACUGAGACACGGCCCAAACUCCUACGGGAGGCAGCAGUAGGGAAGCUUCGGCAAUGGACGAAAGUCUGACCGAGCAACGCCGCGUGAGUGAAGAAGGUUUUCGGAUCGUAAAACUCUGUUGGUAGAGAAGAACGUUGGUGAGAGUGGAAAGCUCAUCAAGUGACGGUAACUACCCAGAAAGGGACGGCUAACUACGUG